Molecule: long non-coding RNA, 468 nt
Filed under: Helianthus annuus (common sunflower)
Lineage: Eukaryota; Viridiplantae; Streptophyta; Magnoliopsida; Asterales; Asteraceae
Description: sRNA HanXRQr2_Chr13g0598671
Source: RNAcentral
GGUUUAUAAAACUCAACCCUAUGAAACGAGUUAUGAUGUUAUGGAGAACAAUGAAGAUUAUAAAGAAUCUAAUUACGGUGAAAAGAAUUUCUAAGGAAUGGAAGUUUUAAACAGGUGUAGUAGGGUGCAUAGUAGAUGUUGAUAUGGAAGAUAGUAUCCAGAAAAUCGAAGAAAACAAAUUGUGUCGUUGAAGCUAAUAAAGAUUGAAUUUCAUGUACAAUUUCUUUAAGAUCAUUAUAAACGUAAUUGUUUUCCGUCAAACAAUAAAAAACAUACCAUUUUAUCAAAGCCGCGAUGUUCACCGGAAGUUUUUUCUGGGAUUUGAAUAAUUUUUUUUCCCAAUGCGUGUCUUUUUACAUAGUACUAAAUUUGAAUCAAAAUAAUAUGGUUUUGGUUGAAGCCCGCGUAUUACGCGGGCAUUAACCUAGUUCUACAUAUAGUGACAAACUCUUUAUUAGAGUUAUUUAU